RNAcentral lists this long non-coding RNA (3064 nucleotides) under Sus scrofa (pig). RNAcentral's name for it is "lncRNA (ENSSSCG00000054704.1)". Lineage: Eukaryota; Metazoa; Chordata; Mammalia; Artiodactyla; Suidae. The record is from RNAcentral.
ACAGUGUACUUGGAUAUUUGUAUUUCUUGUGCUUGAGCAAUUAAAUAAAACUGCUUGGUAGGCUGCCUUGGGAUAUGACAGGCUUAACAGCCCGCUGAACAAACAGUGGAGUUGCUGUCACACUUGAAUUACAGUCUGUUUAAACUUCAAAUCAGCUACAACACAGGGCUCACAUUUCCUGAGCAGGUGGGAAAGAAAAGCCUCCAGGAUAUCAAGGAGACAACUGCCUAAAUCCUAAAGAAGAGGUUUCCAGACUUUUGAAGAGGACACUAGACAAACAAUAAAUUGAAACUUUUCCUAAACGUUCAAGGAAAAGCUUCCUUAAAAUCUAAUCUUAUGAAGUACAGUAGAGAUGUGAGCAAGUAUAAAUCAGAGGUAUCCUGAAAUGGUCUGUAAUGGAUCAAAAUUUAGAUGACAGUUGUAAAACAUCAUUUUAAGUUUCCCUGGCUUGGUUACAAAUGUAACCUGAGAACCAGAAGAAUGUUAAGGUUUUUCUAUGCUAUUUUAAAUCAGUGGUUCUUGGAAACACACAUAUACACAAACACACACAUGUAUUAUCUCUCUAUCUAUCUAUCUAUCUAUCAGAUUAAGUUGGUUUUAGGUGCUUAUUUAGAGUAGGCUUACCCAAAUCACAUAAUCUAGUUUGCUGCUAUUUAUGCUGGUAUAUUUAACAACUGUUACUCUGAGUGACAAUUAUAGAUCAGUUUCCUUUAUUUUCUGGGUCUCCAGCUUGACCAAGUGAUAUAUCACCAUCUCUGAAUUGGUGGUGGCUGGUGAACAAACUAUGCUUUUGUUUGUUCAUCUUUUAAAAAUCAUCCAAAUUAAAUGUGCAUUUAAGAAUUGAGGGUUCUUAAAUACAUCCAUACAAUAGAGACUACUUUGCCAUUAUUAAACAUGAUGAGGUAACAUUAACAUCCAAAAGGAGAAAUACUUAGGUAUAAACCUAACAAAACAUGUUUAAGAACUAAAUGAGGUAAAUUGCAAAACUGUUGAAACUAAUCAAAGGAAGACUAAAUAGAGAGAUAAUCCAUAUUCAUGAACAGAAGGGCUCAAUAGUAUUAAGAUGUCAGUUCUUCCUGACUCGAUCUAUAGAUUCAAUGGAAACAUUAUCCUAUAAACACAUGCACGAUCAUUCUAUAUAUUCAUGAAAGCAUCAAAAGAUAACUGGAAGAAUAUAUACUAGUUAGUGAUGAUUAUCCAUAAGUGGCAGCUCAAUAAUGAGUGAUCACCCUGUUAGAUUUUUACAAUUUAUAUUGCUUGUUAUUAUAUCAAGUAUGUAUUGGUUUUAUCAUCAGCAAACAAACAAACAACAAAAACGCUAUGAUGAGAAAAGACAAUAAAGUUUAUAAUCAGUAAAGCCAGACAGACUGAGGAGAUGAUGCAGGUUCUUUUCUACAUUUAGGGCAGACUGGGCAGUGAGUGCUGUCCUCAAAACUUCUGCCACAAAGUCCCCUCAAUAGCAAAUUUUCCAACACACACAGCUUCCAGGCCUUGAAACCAGUUCAUCUGACAAGGGGGGGAGACAGCACUGAGGGCAAAGAGAGAUGGCCUGAGAGAGAGCACAGUGCUUUCAUUGGGUUUAUUGAUCAGACAUACAGUGUCAUGAGGUUCAGGCCAUUGUGAAUAAUCACUAUCACAUGGGAGCACUGAAUCUUUCACCACCACUAGCCAGAGUCUCACGCCUUCCAAGGGAUGCUGCCUCCACCCAAGUUUUCAUCCUGGAGCGGAUACUCUAUGCUUGUAGUCAUUCUAUGCUUGGAUCAUACACAACAAUGAAUCACAAAAGAAAAAAAGAGGCAGGGGUGGGGGUGGGGCAGAAAGCUUGCACAGAAAAUGUGGAAUAAGUAUUUUAGUUAUUACGUUACCAUUUUUCAAGUAUGAAACCCCCAAAAAAAGUUUGGGAAGAGGGAAUGGGAAGGAAAGGAAAGUUAGAGGAUGUCAAGUCUCAGCUGUUAACCUUCUCCUUUCCCCCAAAGCUUAUUAAAAAAUAUGCAGCAAUCUGUUAAUGCCCUUAGGAGGUGAGUCUAGGCCCUGUUGAGAGCUUCCUAUUCCCCCAACUCUUCCCAAUCCUUUCUGAGCACAUUUCAGAAGGGCAAAAGGACAGGCCCAGCAUCCACCAAGCAGAACAUUCCUGAAAGACUCCUGAGUGUGAAGGCAGUGUGAUACGGUAGUCACAACCAUAAAGAAGCCAAGUCUAAGCCUCCAGGGAGAGAGCAGUCUUUGUUCUGCCACCAUCUGCACUUCCUUGAGGAGAGCGAGACGAGGGCCCCCCUCAGCCAUCAUCCCUCACAGAUGCUUUCACUGAGUACCACAAAAAAAGGCCCAAAGUUGCCUAAGGCCCACGAGAUACCCCUGUGCAAUGAGAUAAGGGAUCUCAGGAUGAAAUGAGUGGCCACUCAGUAUGAAAGGUACCCACCCUGCUUGCUAAGCUAGCUCCUUUGACUUCUGACAGUCAUUUGCUUUUUAUGACACAUAUGAGCUACCUACUUUGUUCCGCCUCUGGAAUUUUUGUCCCUUUGGUUCGUGUCCUUCUGUUUGGGUGCAUUUAGUCUUCCCUGUGCCAACUGUGCCUACAGUGGUUGUGAUCCAUGGUUUUGCUCUUACUUAGAACACAUACCUGUUCCUCAGACCCUGCUCCAGGGCACUGAGCCUGCUGUCCCUUCAGCACUCACACCCUUUACUGAAAGGGUCUUCAAGACCUAUACCCCUUUGGGUUGGACUGGCACUCAGCCUCUAGGAGUGACCAGCUGCUCUUGUGAAGGCUUUUAUGGAUCCAGCAGCUAACUCUCAGGGGCCAUUUCUGCCUCUCUCCUCCCCCAAAGGGCAACUGGACACAGGCUUAGGAAACCUGCUUCUCAUUUCUUUAAUGUCCCAGGAGUCAGGGAGUUCCCGGCGUGGCUCAGCAGAAACAAAUCUGACUUGUAUCCAUGAGGACGCAGGUUCAAUCCCUGGCCUUGCUAAGUGAGUUAAGGAUCUGGCGUUGCCGUGAGCUGUGGUGUAAGUCACAGAUGUGGCUGGGAUACCGAGUUGCUGUAGCUGUGGUGUAGGCUAGCAGCUACAGCUC